Molecule: ribosomal RNA, 287 nt
Filed under: Escherichia sp. E2748
Lineage: Bacteria; Pseudomonadati; Pseudomonadota; Gammaproteobacteria; Enterobacterales; Enterobacteriaceae
Description: partial 23S ribosomal RNA
Rfam family: Bacterial large subunit ribosomal RNA
Source: RNAcentral
GAACUGAGGGGGGGCUGCUCCUACGUACGAGAGGACCGGAGUGGACGCAUCACUGGUGUUCGGGUUGUCAUGCCAAUGGCACUGCCCGGUAGCUAAAUGCGGAAGAGAUAAGUGCUGAAAGCAUCUAAGCACGAAACUUGCCCCGACGAUGAGUUCUCCCUGACUCCCUGAGAGUCCUGAAGGAACGUUGAAGACGACGACGUUGAUAGGCCGGGUGUGUAAGCGCAGCGAUGCGUUGAGCUAACCGGUACUAAUGAACCGUGAGGCUUAACCUUACAACGCCGAAG